CCUACGGGUGGCAGCAGUGAGGAAUAUUGGUCAAUGGGCGGGAGCCUGAACCAGCCAAGUCGCGUGAGGGACGACGGUCCUAUGGAUUGUAAACCUCUUUUGUCGGGGAACAAAGGCGCCCACGGGUGGGCGGAUGAGUGUACCCGAAGAAAAAGCAUCGGCUAACUCCGUGCCAGCCGCCGCGGUAAUACGGAGGUGGCAAGCGUUAUCCGGAUUUACUGGGUGUAAAGGGCGUGUAGGCGGGGACGCAAGUCAGAUGUGAAAACCACGGGCUCAACCUGUGGCCUGCAUUUGAAACUGUGUUUCUUGAGUACUGGAGAGGCAGACGGAAUUCCUAGUGUAGCGGUGAAAUGCGUAGAUAUUAGGAGGAACACCAGUGGCGAAGGCGGUCUGCUGGACAGCAACUGACGCUGAGGCGCGAAAGCGUGGGGAGCAAACAGGAUUAGAUACCCCUGUAGUC
Molecule: ribosomal RNA, 460 nt
Filed under: uncultured bacterium
Lineage: Bacteria
Description: partial 16S ribosomal RNA
Rfam family: Bacterial small subunit ribosomal RNA
Source: RNAcentral